Molecule: ribosomal RNA, 950 nt
Filed under: uncultured bacterium
Lineage: Bacteria
Description: bacterial SSU rRNA
Rfam family: Bacterial small subunit ribosomal RNA
Source: RNAcentral
GAUGAACGCUAGCGGCAGGCUUAACACAUGCAAGUCGAGGGGCAGCACGGGUAGCAAUACCUGGUGGCGACCGGCGGAAGGGUGCGUAACGCGUGAGCAACAUGCCCUAUACAGGGGAAUAAACCAGGGAAACUUGGUCUAAUGCCCCAUAGCAAUAAGAUAAGGCAUCUUAUUUUAUUUAAAGCUUCGGUGGUAUAGGAUUGGCUCGCGUGACAUUAGCUGGAUGGUGGGGUAACGGCCCACCAUGGCGAUGAUGUCUAGGGGUUCUGAGAGGAAGACCCCCCACACUGGGACUGAGACACGGCCCAGACUCCUACGGGAGGCAGCAGUGAGGAAUAUUGGACAAUGGAUGGAAAUCUGAUCCAGCCAUGCCGCGUGCAGGAAGACGGCCCUAUGGGUUGUAAACUGCUUUUCUACGGGAGCAAUAAGGUCUACGCGUAGACUGAUGAGAGUACCGUAGGAAUAAGCAUCGGCUAACUCCGUGCCAGCAGCCGCGGUAAUACGGAGGAUGCGAGCGUUAUCCGGAUUUAUUGGGUUUAAAGGGUGCGUAGGCGGCUUUUUAAGUCAGCGGUGAAAUUUUGCAGCUUAACUGUAACAGUGCCGUUGAUACUGGGGAGCUAGGAUUUGGUUGCUGUGGGUGGAAUGUGUGGUGUAGCGGUGAAAUGCUUAGAGAUCACACAGAAUAUCGAUUGCGAAGGCAGCUCACAAAGCCAAGAUUGACGCUGAGGCACGAAAGUGUGGGGAUCAAACAGGAUUAGAUACCCUGGUAGUCCACACUGUAAACGAUGAUAACUCGCUGUCGGCGAUACACAGUCGGUGGCCAAGCGAAAGCGAUAAGUUAUCCACCUGGGGAGUACGACCGCAAGGUUGAAACUCAAAGGAAUUGACGGGGCCCGCACAAGCGGAGGAACAUGUGGUUUAUUUCGAUGAUACGCGAGGAACCUUACCCG